GACCCGAAACCCGGUGAUCUAGCCAUGGGCAGGUUGAAGGUUGGGUAACACUAACUGGAGGACCGAACCGACUAAUGUUGAAAAAUUAGCGGAUGACCUGUGGCUGGGGGUGAAAGGCCAAUCAAACCGGGAGAUAGCUGGUUCUCCCCGAAAGCUAUUUAGGUAGCGCCUCGUGAAUUCAUCUCCGGGGGUAGAGCACUGUUUCGGCUAGGGGGCCAUCCCGGCUUACCAACCCGAUGCAAACUGCGAAUACCGGAGAAUGUUAUCACGGGAGACACACGGCGGGUGCUAACGUCCGUCGUGAAGAGGGAAACAACCCAGACCGCCAGCUAAGGUCCCAAAGUCAUGGUUAAGUGGGAAACGAUGUGGGAAGGCCCAGACAGCCAGGAUGUUGGCUUAGAAGCAGCCAUCAUUUAAAGAAAGCGUAAUAGCUCACUGGUCGAGUCGGCCUGCGCGGAAGAUGUAACGGGGCUAAACCAUGCACCGAAGCUGCGGCAGCGAACGUAUCACCCAAGACAACUUUACGGAGUUGACGAUUGACGGAGCGAAGCGACGUCAAAGCGUUCAUUAAAGUCGAGUUGGCUUAGGGAUACGUUCGUUGGGUAGGGGAGCGUUCUGUAAGCCUGUGAAGGUGUGUCGUGAGGCAUGCUGGAGGUAUCAGAAGUGCGAAUGCUGACAUAAGUAACGAUAAAGCGGGUGAAAAGCCCGCUCGCCGGAAGACCAAGGGUUCCUGUCCAACGUUAAUCGGGGCAGGGUGAGUCGACCCCUAAGGCGAGGCCGAAAGGCGUAGUCGAUGGGAAACGGGUUAAUAUUCCCGUACUUGGUGUUACUGCGAAGGGGGGACGGAGAAGGCUAUGUUGGCCGGGCGACGGUUGUCCCGGUUUAAGCGUGUAGGUGUGUGUUCCAGGUAAAUCCGGUUCACUUUAACACUGAGGCGUGACGACGAGGCACUACGGUGCUGAAGCAACAAAUGCCCUGCUUCCAGGAAAAGCCUCUAAGCAUCAGGUAACACGAAAUCGUACCCCAAACCGACACAGGUGGUCAGGUAGAGAAUACCAAGGCGCUUGAGAGAACUCGGGUGAAGGAACUAGGCAAAAUGGUGCCGUAACUUCGGGAGAAGGCACGCUGACAC
Molecule: ribosomal RNA, 1132 nt
Filed under: Salmonella enterica subsp. enterica serovar Typhimurium
Lineage: Bacteria; Pseudomonadati; Pseudomonadota; Gammaproteobacteria; Enterobacterales; Enterobacteriaceae
Description: partial 23S ribosomal RNA
Rfam family: Bacterial large subunit ribosomal RNA
Source: RNAcentral